UCCAGGCCCUUCGAUCCUUUAAUGUGGAUGCUGCCAGAUCCUGGGUGAUCCUUAUUGUGGCUCCUUGAUACUUGAAUUGGGUUUUUCUAGCCGCUUGCAGUAUUUUUUCCUUUGCCUGAGGGUUCUGGCAUUUGGCCACUAUAUUCCUUGGUGUUUUGAUUUUAGGAUCCCUUUCAGUAGGGGAUCGAUGAAUUCUUUCAAUGUCUAUUUUACCUUCUGUUUCUAUGACUUCUGGGCAGUUCUCUUUGAUAAUUUCCUGGAAGAUAGUGUCCAGGCUCUUUUUUUCAUCAUACUUUUCUGGAAGUCUGAUGAUUCUCAGGUUGUCUCUCCUGGAUCUGUUUUCCAGGUCUGUUGUCUUCCCCAGAAGGUAUUUCACAUCCUUUUCCAUUGUUUGAUUUUUUUGGAUUUGCUUGACUGAUUCUUCUUGUCUCCUCGAGUCAUUCAAUUCCAAUUGUUCGACCCUGAUUUUCAGUGAGGUAUUUUCUUCACUCACUUUUUUAAGAUCUUUUUCUAAUUGUCCAAUUGAGUUCUUUUGUUCUGUGGAAUUUUUUUUCCAUUUCGCCAAUUUUGUUUUCCAGUUCACCAAUCCUAUUUUUCAAGGAUUUGGUUUCUUUAUCCACUCUCUCUUUAACUGACUUCUCCAGGCUCUUUUGCCAAGCCUCCCUCUCCUUUUGCAGAGCCUCCCUCUCCUUUUGCCAAGCCUCCCUCUCCUUUUGCAGAGCCUCCCUCUCCUUUUGCCAAGUCUCCCUCUCCUUUUGCAAAGCCUCCUUCUCCUUUUGCCAAGCCUCCCUCUCCUUUUGCAGAGCCUCCCUCUCCUUUUCCCAUUUUUCUUCUAGCUCCCUUGUGAGAGCCUUUUUAAUUUCCUCCAUGAGAUUCAUCUGUGCUGAGGGACAUAUGGUCUCCUCCUUUGGGGAUUCACCUGGGGACUGUUUAUUUUUAGUCUCCUCAGGAUUUGGAGUCUGCUCUUUAUCUGUAUAAAAGCUGUCCAGGGUUAGAUUCUUUUUCAGUUUCUUGCUCAUUCUGUCUAUUUAUCAAAGACAAACUAUCAAAGAAACAGAAGGAAAAAAACCCCUUGAUUGGAGGCUGCUUUCUUUGGGGGAGGGGCAGGGUAUUCGUGAGGCACGGGUCCUACUGUGCUAUGGCGCCUGCGCGCUGAGAUCCGAGCGCUCUGAGAUCCGAGCGGGCUGAGACACUGUGGGGGAGGGGUGGCCAGGUCCCGAGAGACUCCAGCUGUUUGGGGUUGUAUUCUUCACCCCCGGUGUUUUUAGCUUCUCUGCUGGGCUGCUGACUUGCUCCUGUAGCAAAGCUCUCCCCGCAGAGACGGCUGCGAUCGCUCCCCACCCCCUCUCCGCUCUACCCGGUUCUGAGCUGCUUUCUGUGCUCUGGUUGCAGCUGCUGCCCGCAGACUGCUUCCAAAUACCGUCCCCGCCCUCGCGCAAAAACAGACCUUUCUUGACGAGUCUCAAGGAUGGUUUCUCUUGGUAAUCGUGCUGUCCACGAGACUCCUGAACUCACUUAACAGUGCCGAGCUGUUAUUUGCAACGGAUCGACUUCAUCCAGACGUUGGCAUCUGAGCCAGAGCCACCUACUAUAAGAGAACAGAAGACUUAGCCGGUCUGGAAAGACCUGCUCUAUUGUCUGACAACUGUUGAGAUAUAUUUCCCAAACUGAGCCUACCCUGUUACUAACUGUAACUGUGGGAAUAACUGAAUUUUGGCUGAAGGCCUUCGAUAAUGGAGAGGGGGGAGGGGGAGGAAUGUUCUGUUGCUAAGACUGUUGCAAUGUUAUGUUGCCAAGAUUAUUGAAAUGUUAUAUUAUUGAGAUUGUUACUGGUUUUAAAAUUUUUUCUUUUUCUGUUUCUGAAGUUGAGAUGUUAUAUUGAAAUUGUUACUGAUUUUUAAAAAAAGUCUUUUUCUGUUUCUAAAGCUAAAGAUGUUAUAUUGUUGAGAUUGUUACUGGUUUAAAAUAAAAAUCCUUUUUCUGUUUCUAAA
This is a long non-coding RNA of Antechinus flavipes (yellow-footed antechinus), 1991 nucleotides long. RefSeq lists it as uncharacterized. NCBI's taxonomy places the organism in Eukaryota, Metazoa, Chordata, Mammalia, Dasyuromorphia, Dasyuridae. The record is from RefSeq and is a predicted model, not a curated record. The transcript is spliced from 2 exons.